RNAcentral lists this small RNA (59 nucleotides) under Arabidopsis thaliana (thale cress). Its description in RNAcentral is "ATSL094860". Lineage: Eukaryota; Viridiplantae; Streptophyta; Magnoliopsida; Brassicales; Brassicaceae. The record is from RNAcentral.
UUAGCUAGCUAAGUUUAUAAAUGCAUGAUUCCCUUCUGUUUUAGGAGUUCUUAAUGCUA